This 592-nucleotide small RNA is filed under the name Histoplasma capsulatum var. duboisii H88. RNAcentral's name for it is "Histoplasma capsulatum H88 hypothetical RNA". The record is from RNAcentral. Lineage: Eukaryota; Fungi; Ascomycota; Eurotiomycetes; Onygenales; Ajellomycetaceae.
GGUGUCCGGGCCGUGGAAAAUACAGAAGGGUCCAUCAAACCAAAUGACGGAACAUACCAGAGUGUACAGGCAGGGAGUCAACCUGAGAAACAUCCUACAAAGCCAAGAGUACAAAAUCAACUUACAGCUGCCACUGAACUCGACAGUAUCCCGAAACCUAAUAAUAAUGGUCGAAAUAAAGUUGAAGGAAACAAGAAUGAUGAACUCCUAACGAUGGCAAGAGCGCUUAGAAAAGUUCAGGUUGUAGGUUUCGACUCAAGGGGGCCUAAAAAUCAAUGCGCCAUAUCCGACGGCGCAGCAGGCAGAAAUUCGACGAAAUUUGAUACCAUUAUAAACGACACUCACGAAAAAGAAGAAGUUUACCUUGGAGGAAAGUGUUCAGAAAAUUGUGCAAACGAUAUAGUUGACGAAUUCGACGACCUGGAUGAGGUGUCCCUGAUUCCAACGUCGGAUUGUCGUAGAUUGGUGAUCGACAAUCAACACAGUGACGUAGGGUCCUAUGUCGAUUCUAUCUCGAUUUGUGAAGUUACUCACGUUGAAUUUCGACCGCAAGGCCGGGAUGUGCAACCAAUCCCAACCCAAAGUCAAAGGG